UGUUAAAAUAAUUUGAGGAAAACAGUGGGUUAAAGAUAAUUUAGGCUGGGCCUGGUGGCUCACACCUGUAAUCCUAGCAUUUUGGGAGGUUGAGGCAGGAGGAUGACUUGAGGUCAGGAGUUCAAGAUCAGCCUGGGCAAUAUGGUGAAACGCUGUCUCUACCAAAACUACAAAAAAUUAGCUGGGCAUGGUGGCGGGCUACUCAGGAGGGUGAGGUGAGAGGAUUGCUUGAGCCUGGGAGGCGGAGGUUGCAAUAAGCCGAGUUUGCGCCACUGCACUCCAGCCUGAGUGACAGAGCCAGAGUCUGUCUCAAAACAAAUGAACAAACAAAAACAAACAAACAAACAGAUAGGUUAAAAAAUACCUUUGUUUUUGUGUGUAGGUUUGUUUUAAAUUCAGGACUCCUUGGAGGUUUUAACAUAUUCAUGUAUACUUCAGUAAAUUGCCCAACUUAUUUGACAAUAGAGUCACAUUUUUAAGGCACUCCUGGCACUCACGCUUAUGAAAUGUAUUUUAGGAAACUCUGCUUUACAGUUUUCUUGCAAGCAUUUGAUUCUCCUCUUACAGUAGAGUCCAGUCACAAAGGGUCUGAACAGGCUCUUUCCAGGGAGUCAUUCUUGGGACGAUGGGAGGCCAGCAGUGUGGAGGCCCAGGAUCUCCACGCAAAAGUUGCGAUUUCUGAUCUGAAGCCCAAAAAAGGAUAGGAAUGCAAGGUGCAGAGUGGCCUAGUUUAAGAGAAAGCACAUCAUAUUUAAUACUUAACAGCUAUUAAUUUAAGCUAGUCAGCUUCUUAUUUGAAAUAUUCCUUCAUGGUUUUCUUUUUUAAAAAAAUGUAUUACAAAAUAUCUUCCUAGUCACUAAACCAGUUGAAUUCUGGAAAGAGGGAGAAUAUUCCCAGCUUUUGUGUAAAAGACAAUGA
Molecule: long non-coding RNA, 919 nt
Filed under: Homo sapiens (human)
Lineage: Eukaryota; Metazoa; Chordata; Mammalia; Primates; Hominidae
Description: long non-coding RNA NONHSAT252931
Source: RNAcentral